This 439-nucleotide ribosomal RNA is filed under the name uncultured bacterium. Its description in RNAcentral is "bacterial SSU rRNA". It matches the Rfam family "Bacterial small subunit ribosomal RNA", at positions 340 to 773 of the family's 1533-position model. The record is from RNAcentral.
UACGGAAGGCAGCAGUGGGGAAUAUUGCACAAUGGGCGCAGGCCUGAUGCAGCCAUGCCGCGUGUAUGAAGAAGGCCUUCGGGUUGUAAAGUACUUUCAGUCGUGAGGAAGGUGUUAAGGUUAAUAACCUUAGCAAUUGACGUUAGCGACAGAAGAAGCACCGGCUAACUCCGUGCCAGCAGCCGCGGUAAUACGGAGGGUGCGAGCGUUAAUCGGAAUUACUGGGCGUAAAGGGCACGCAGGCGGUUAAUUAAGUUGGAUGUGAAAUCCCCGGGCUUAACCUGGGAAUGGCAUUCAAGACUGGUUAGCUAGAGUCUUGUAGAGGGGGUAGAAUUCCAUGUGUAGCGGUGAAAUGCGUAGAGAUGUGGAGGAAUACCGGUGGCGAAGGCGGCCCCUGGACAAAGACUGACGCUCAUGUGCGAAAGCGUGGGGAGCAAAC